This is a long non-coding RNA of Hordeum vulgare subsp. vulgare (domesticated barley), 910 nucleotides long. RefSeq lists it as uncharacterized. The record is from RefSeq and is a predicted model, not a curated record. The transcript has 2 exons. NCBI's taxonomy places the organism in Eukaryota, Viridiplantae, Streptophyta, Magnoliopsida, Poales, Poaceae.
CAUAUCUGCAGGUCUAGUUCAUAUUUUCCCAAUGUUACAAUUUUCAGAUAGGACAGCACCAAUUUUAGUGUUUCCAAUUGCAUUUGAUGUGCCAGAUCCAGUGUCUUGCUCUUACAUCUGUUGCAAUCUAUUUGCAUGUGCCUUACAUUUGUGUGCCCUAUUUUCAGAACAUGUUAAACCUAUGUAAAAACAGGGUUGUUCUCUUUGACAAUAAAACAAGCAAUAAGAAGCGCCAUUUGGCAUAACUGAAAAAAUUGCUUGAUGCAGUAGACUCUGUUAUAUCCAGCAAUGAUGGAUGUCCAUUUUCCAACCAGAUCAGUCGAAUUCAGGUGCUUUAACAUUUGGUCAUAUUCCAUCCCUGCACUAAAUUUUCUCACUGUACCUUCGUUAUCUUCUUGCAGCAAGCGCAGAGCCGCAAAGAAAUAAGUGUUGAUGAAUGCUGUGCAGAACAGAUGUCCAGAAUGAAGAAAGAGAUGCAUGAUGAAUGCCUUGCACAGCUUGCAAAGAUGGUGCAGGAAAAUCCAAACAGUACAAUCACUAGGCUUGAAAAACUACUGUUGGAAGAGCAAAAAGCCAGGCUGGAGUCGGAGAAUGAGGUGGGAGAAUCAUUAUUACGAUCAGAAAAGGAGAUCCAGAAUCUCACUGAGAUGCUAGAGAAGGCUAAGGAGGAGAGUGAAAACUCUCAAAAAGAAUUGGAGAAAUCCAAAAAGAGAGUGAAAACUCUUGAAAAGAAAAAGUAGCAGUUAGCGUGACAAUAGCAUAAUUCUCAAUUGGCUAAGAUGCAUACGGCUAAACUUUUGGGUUGGAGAAUGUCCUAUGUGUUGCUUAAGUGAAAACCUGUUCUUUAACUGAUUUUAUGGACUUUGUUACACCUACGGGAUUGUGGUAUGAAAAGCUACGUAGAACAUGA